Molecule: ribosomal RNA, 508 nt
Filed under: uncultured bacterium
Lineage: Bacteria
Description: partial 16S ribosomal RNA
Rfam family: Bacterial small subunit ribosomal RNA
Source: RNAcentral
GACGAACGCUGGCGGCGUGCCUAAUACAUGCAAGUCGAACGCUUCUUUCCUCCCGAGUGCUUGCACUCAAUUGGAAAGAGGAGUGGCGGACGGGUGAGUAACACGUGGGUAACCUACCCAUCAGAGGGGGAUAACACUUGGAAACAGGUGCUAAUACCGCAUAACAGUUUAUGCCGCAUGGCAUAAGAGUGAAAGGCGCUUUCGGGUGUCGCUGAUGGAUGGACCCGCGGUGCAUUAGCUAGUUGGUGAGGUAACGGCUCACCAAGGCCACGAUGCAUAGCCGACCUGAGAGGGUGAUCGGCCACACUGGGACUGGGACACGGCCCAGACUCCUACGGGAGGCAGCAGUAGGGAAUCUUCGGCAAUGGACGAAAGUCUGACCGAGCAACGCCGCGUGAGUGAAGAAGGUUUUCGGAUAGUAAAACUCUGUUGUUAGAGAAGAACAAGGACGUUAGUAACUGAACGUCCCCUGACGGUAUCUAACCAGAAAGCCACGGCUAACUACGUG